AUUGAACGCUGGCGGCAGGCCUAACACAUGCAAGUCGAACGAGUGGCGGACGGGUGAGUAAUGUCUGGGAAACUGCCUGAUGGAGGGGGAUCACUAAUGGAAACGGUAGCCAAUACCGCAUACCAUCGGAUGUGCCAAGAUGGGAUUAGCUAGUAGGUGGGGUAAAGGCUAACCUAGGCGACGAUCCCUAGCUGGUCUGAGAGGAUGACCAUCCACACUGGAGCUGAGACACGGUCCAGACUCCUACGGGAGGCAGCAGUGGGGAAUAUUGCACAAUGGGCGCAAGCCUGAUGCAGCCAUGCCGCGUGUAUGAAGAAGGCCUUCGGGUUGUAAAGUACUUUCAGCGGGGAGGCGUUACCCGCAGAAGAAGCACCGGCUAACUCCGUGCCAGCAGCCGCGGUAAUUC
RNAcentral lists this ribosomal RNA (406 nucleotides) under uncultured bacterium. RNAcentral's name for it is "partial 16S ribosomal RNA". It matches the Rfam family "Bacterial small subunit ribosomal RNA", at positions 30 to 526 of the family's 1533-position model. The record is from RNAcentral.